GCCUACGGGGCGCAGCAGUGGGGAAUAUUGCACAAUGGGGGAAACCCUGAUGCAGCGACGCCGCGUGAGUGAAGAAGUAUUUCGGUAUGUAAAGCUCUAUCAGCAGGGAAGAAAAUGACGGUACCUGACUAAGAAGCCCCGGCUAACUACGUGCCAGCAGCCGCGGUAAUACGUAGGGGGCAAGCGUUAUCCGGAUUUACUGGGUGUAAAGGGAGCGUAGGCGGAAAGGUAAGCCAGAAGUGAAAGCCCGCGG
Molecule: ribosomal RNA, 253 nt
Filed under: uncultured bacterium
Lineage: Bacteria
Description: partial 16S ribosomal RNA
Rfam family: Bacterial small subunit ribosomal RNA
Source: RNAcentral